CAGAGAACAUGCCCCUAGGGUAUAUCUCCCACCCCUUGUCUACAAUACCUUUGUUGCUUUGGCAAGCCUGUCCUAUGACUGCUGGCUUUCUAGCUGGCCUGUGCUUGCCAGAGGACCCCAAAACUCUCUCUUCUUGUUGUCUGAGUACCAUAUAAUAAUUA
Molecule: unclassified non-coding RNA, 161 nt
Filed under: uncultured Helotiales
Lineage: Eukaryota; Fungi; Ascomycota; Leotiomycetes; Helotiales
Description: sequence contains ITS1
Source: RNAcentral